GACGAACGCUGGCGGCGUGCUUAACACAUGCAAGUCGAACGGAAAGGCCUGCUUUCCCUUGUGGAUUGCGGGUACUCGAGUGGCGAACGGGUGAGUAACACGUGAGUGAUCUGCCCCCAACUUGGGUAUAAGCCUGGGAAACUGGGUCUAAUUCCCGAUAGGACUGCAGGGUGGUGCCUGUGGUGGAAAACGAUUUUCUAGUGGUUGGGGAUGAGCUCGCGGCCUAUCAGCUUGUUGGUGGGGUAAUGGCCGACCACGGCGGCGACGGGUAGCCGGCGUGGGAUCGGGCACAGUGGCAUUGAGACACGGUCACGGCCCCGACGGGUGCGAGCGGCAGGGAUGGGGAAGAAUUGGCAGUGAGCGGAAGCCAGAAGCGGCGAGGGCGUGAGGAAGAUGACGGGCUUCGAGUUGUAAGCUCCUUGCGACCGAGAGGAGUCUACCUGGUUGGAAGGGUGGUGACGGUAGUGAUAGAAGAAGCACCGGCUAACUACGUG
RNAcentral lists this ribosomal RNA (494 nucleotides) under uncultured bacterium. RNAcentral's name for it is "partial 16S ribosomal RNA". It matches the Rfam family "Bacterial small subunit ribosomal RNA", at positions 28 to 507 of the family's 1533-position model. The record is from RNAcentral.